GAUGAACGCUGGCGGCAUGCCUAAUACAUGCAAGUCGAACGAGAGGAAGGAAAGCUUGCUUUUCUGAAUCUAGUGGCGAACGGGUGAGUAACACGUAGGUAACCUGCCCAUGUGCCCGGGAUAACUUCUGGAAACGGAUGCUAAAACCGGAUAGGUAGCAGACAAGCAUUUGACUGCUGUUAAAGUGGCUAAGGCCAUGAACAUGGAUGGACCUGGGGUGCAUUAGCUAGUUGGUGAGGUAACGGCCCACCAAGGAGACGAUGCAUAGCCGGCCUGAGAGGGCGGACGGCCACAUUGGGACUGAGACACGGCCCAAACUCCUACGGGAGGCAGCAGUAGGGAAUUUUCGUCAAUGGGGGGAACCCUGAACGAGCAAUGCCGCGUGAGUGAGGAAGGUCUUCGGAUCGUAAAGCUCUGUUGUAAGAGAAAAACGACAUUCAUAGGGAAUGAUGAGUGAGUGAUGGUAUCUUACCAGAAAGUCACGGCUAACUACGUGCCAGCCGCCGCAGUAA
RNAcentral lists this ribosomal RNA (512 nucleotides) under uncultured bacterium. Its description in RNAcentral is "partial 16S ribosomal RNA". It matches the Rfam family "Bacterial small subunit ribosomal RNA", at positions 28 to 523 of the family's 1533-position model. The record is from RNAcentral.